Molecule: ribosomal RNA, 325 nt
Filed under: uncultured bacterium
Lineage: Bacteria
Description: bacterial SSU rRNA
Rfam family: Bacterial small subunit ribosomal RNA
Source: RNAcentral
GACGAACGCUGGCGGCGUGCUUAACACAUGCAAGUCGAGCGGUAAGGCCCUUUCGGGGGUACACGAGCGGCGAACGGGUGAGUAACACGUGGGUGACCUGCCUUUAGCUCUGGGAUAAGCCUGGGAAACUGGGUCUAAUACCGGAUAUGACUCCGCGGUGCAUGCUGUGGGGUGGAAAGCCUUGUGCGGCUGGGAGAUCGGGCCCGCGGCCUAUCAGCUUGUUGGUGGGGUGAUGGCCACCAAGGCGACGACGGGUAGCCGGCCUGAGAGGGCGACCGGCCACACUGGGACUGAGACACGGCCCAGACUCCGUACGGGAGGCAGC